GGAAGUUAAGAAAUUGUUUCUUAACUUUUAACUAAAAAACUAAGAACUAGUUCUUAAAUAAGGACUUUAAGAACUGGUUUUUAGUUUUUUAAUUAAAAGUUAAGAAACUGUUUCUUAACUUCC
Molecule: non-coding RNA, 123 nt
Organism: Brassica napus (rape)
Lineage: Eukaryota; Viridiplantae; Streptophyta; Magnoliopsida; Brassicales; Brassicaceae
Source: Rfam